ACAGCGAUAAGGGAACCUCGAGUGCCAGGUUACAAAUCUGGCUGUCGAGAUGCCUAAAAAGCAUUUCAUAGCAAGGGCCGGGCAAGACCGGUGCCAGCCGCCGCGGUAACACCGGCGGCUCGAGUGGUAACCGUUAUUAUUGGGUCUAAAGGGUCUGUAGCCGGCCGGAUAAGUCUCUUGAGAAAUCUGGCAGCUUAACUGUCAGGCUUUCAGGAGAUACUGUCUGGCUCGAGGCCGGGAGAGGUGAGAGGUACUUCAGGGGUAGGGGUGAAAUCUUGUAAUCCUUGAAGGACCACCAGUGGCGAAGGCGUCUCACCAGAACGGACCUGACGGCAAGGGACGAAAGCUAGGGGCACGAACCGGAUUAGAUACCCGGGUAGUCCUAGCCGUAAACGAUACUCGCUAGGUGUCGGCCACGGUGCGACCGUUGUCGGUGCCGUAGGGAAGCCG
RNAcentral lists this ribosomal RNA (450 nucleotides) under uncultured archaeon. RNAcentral's name for it is "bacterial SSU rRNA". It matches the Rfam family "Archaeal small subunit ribosomal RNA", at positions 364 to 814 of the family's 1478-position model. The record is from RNAcentral.